Molecule: unclassified non-coding RNA, 9877 nt
Filed under: Haliotis rufescens (red abalone)
Lineage: Eukaryota; Metazoa; Mollusca; Gastropoda; Lepetellida; Haliotidae
Description: non-lysosomal glucosylceramidase-like, transcript variant X1
Source: RNAcentral
UGGAACCGGUCGAGAAGAAGGAUUCUUGGGACGUCAACAAAGCUGGAAUAACGUUGGUGUCAAACGUGUGCUUCCUUAUACUGUUUGUUCUAAAGAGAAAAGCUUUCGAUGUCGUUUGUGGGCCCAGAUCAGAGUCCAACUACACCUCAGGAACAUAUUGAUGGUGUGCCAGAUUUUGGAUGGCGUGUACCACUAGAUCGUCCAAAUCCAGCGAAAUGCAAUCCCUUCACGACUCCCCGACUGAAGCACAUUCCAAGUUUUGUGGGACUCAGUUUGAGAUACAUGACAUACUGGAUCAGCAAGAAGAGACAGGGACGUAAGAUCUUCAUUGAUCACCUCAACCCCAUCAGUCACAAGCCCAUUUACGGGUGCCCUAUCGGUGGGAUUGGAGGCGGUUCCAUUGGUCGGGGAUACAGAGGGGAGUUCUGUCGCUUCCACAUGGUUCCUGGUCUCUAUGACUACAAUGUAGUUGAUGCUGAUCAGUUCACUGUGUGCAUCCGCAAGAAUGGCGUGACAGUGCUGCAGCAGGUGCUCGCGUCCUACAAGAAGACGGGGAAACAUCUCAAGUCCUGGGACUGGAACUUCCCGGGUGCUAACGCCACCUAUCACGCCCUCUACCCCCGAGCAUGGACAGUGUACAGCAUCCCUGAGUUCAAUGUCAAGUUGGUGUGUCGACAGGUCUCGCCCGUCUACCCACAUGAGUAUAAGGAGAGUUCACUACCAGCAGCAGUGUUUGUGUGGACCAUCGAGAACAACAGCACCGAUGACCUUGACAUCAGCAUCAUGUUCUCAUUUAAAAAUGGCCGUGGUGUGAAGGAGGAUAAGGAAGGAGGCUGCUGGAACGAGCCCUUUAAGUGUGACAGCGAGGGGGGCGACGUCAGCGGAGUCCUCAUCCACCAGACCUUCAGGGAUAUGGACUGUACAUACGCACUCUCGGCAGCACAAAGGGAGGGGGUGUCUGUGAGUCAUCUGGUGAACUUUGACCCUCAAGGGACAGGAAGCGAGGUUUGGUUAGACCUCAAAGAAGAUGGACAACUGACAUCUUCAACAGAAAGCAGUGAAAAGACAUUGAAGGGAAAGGAGAUCGCGGCUGCUGUGUGUGUGCAGUGUCAUGUGGCAGCCGGCAAGUCGGCCACGGCGGAGUUCAGUCUGGUCUGGGAUAUGCCAGUCAUACACUUUAGCUCUAGGGGACAGAAAUACCAUAGACGUUAUGCCCGCUGGUUCGGGACUGAUGGCACCGGAGCCCAGCGGAUCAGCAGUCAUGCAAUAGGCCAGUACCAGGCCUGGGAGAGCAAGAUUGAAGAGUGGCAAAACCCAAUACUCUCCAACAGAAACCUUCCAGCCUGGUACAAGUCGGCAUUGUUUAAUGAGCUGUACUUUGUGAGUGAUGGUGGCACGAUAUGGGUGGAUCCAGUUGAUGGAGACAGCAGCACAUCCUUCUUCAAGAACGACCACGCCCUGGUGAAGGAGUACAGCAAGUUCCUGUACCUGGAAGGUCAUGAAUACCGGAUGUUCAACACAUACGACGUGCAUCACUACGCCUCCUUCGCCUUCAUCCAGCUGUGGCCCAAGAUACAGCUGUCUCUACAGUAUGACAUAGCUCACUCUGUGAUGAGCGAGGACAGUACGCGUGUGAAGUACUACACGUCCGGUCACAAGGGGCUGCUCAAGACGCUUCACACAGUUCCUCAUGACGUCGGGGACCCAGAGGACGAGCCAUGGAAGCGCGUCAAUGCCUACAGGAUUCAUGAGACGGCCAACUGGAAGGACCUCAAUCUGAAGUUUGUCCUGCAGGUGUACAGAGACUACCACGCCACACAGGACAAGGAGUUCAUGGAGAAUAUGUACCCCAAGGUCAAGGGUGUGAUCGAGACUGCACUGAAGUGGGACAUCGAUGACGACGGUAUCAUUGACAACAGUGGCUUUGCCGACCAGACUUUCGACGCAUGGACUAUGAGUGGAGCAAGCGCCUACUGUGGUGGGAUGUGGCUGGCCUCGCUGCGGAUGACGAUUGAGAUGGCCAGCAAGUUGGGGUUCAAGGAAGACAUGGACAAGUACCAGGUGGUGCUGGACAAGGGACGUCAGUCAUACGAAACCAAACUUUGGAACGGCCGGUACUACGACUACGACAGCAGCACCAGUGGGCAUCAUGACAGUCUGAUGGCCGACCAGCUUGCAGGCCAGUGGUUCCUGCGGGCAUCGGGGCUGCAGGAUGACAAGGUGUUUCCCCCAGAUCAUGUACAGAGUGUCCUGAAGACUAUCUACGAGAACAAUGUCAUGAAGUAUGGUAAUGGUAACAUGGGUGCAAUCAAUGGGACCCGACCAGAUGGCAGUCGAGACACCAGUAGCUGCCAGGCAGAGGAAUUCUGGGUAGGAGUGAUAUACGGUCUGGCUGCCAGCAUGAUCCAGGAGGGUUUGAUAUCAGAGGGCUUUCAAACAGCGUGGGGAGCCUACCAUGUAUGCUGGGAGCAAUACGGCCUGCAGUUCCAAACACCUGAAGCCUACAUGACGUCCAAACACUACCGUUCUCUUGGAUACAUGCGGCCAUUAUGCAUCUGGUCCAUGCAGUGGGCCCUAGAACGCUUCCAGCCACAGUUACUUCAGCAGAAAGAGGGCGCUACAGUCUCACAGACGAGAAGUGUCCUCGUACAGGAAGUUAACCCAGAAGUCCCUGGCACCGCAGAGUCCGGGGUCACAAGAAGCGAGAUCCAGCUGGAGGUCACCGAGCAAUAAAUUAAAUUAUUGACCAACCUGAAAUCUGAUACCUCACUUGACAUUUUAUCAGAACUUGUGUGUAGAAGAUUUGAGGGGUUCUAUUUAUCAGAUGAUUACAUUUUAAAUCCUACAUCAUGUCUGUAAGUCUUAAGUAUGACUGUCCAUCUCAUUAAGUCACCCUGUUUGCCUUUGUAGUUCAUCAAUUUAACACGUUUUCUUAGGCCUAAUGUUUUCUUGAAUGUGAAUAAGAAAAACUUCAUAUUGACUCCAUCCGCAAAAUCAUAUAGAUACAUAAAACAACGAGAACAAAAGUUAGAUCUCUUCUUUGAAGCAGAAAGAUCAGGUCUGGAUUGUUCUGUGUACUAUUUUUCUAUUUAUUAUCAUUUCAAUAUUGAAAUAUUUCAUCUACAAUGGGCUUAAAAAAAUAAAGAUUUGGUUCUCAGGCAAUAUUUUUUGAAAAAUAGUGUGGGCAGGCGGUAUCUUUUUUCCUUUUUGUUUUGGUUUUCCAAACUAGAAUGUAAGGAUUUUUAAAAAAAUAAUUAAAAAUGGAAAUAAAAACAAAUCUUUAUGAUGAUGCCGGCGGUGCCUGAGAACCAAGACUAUUAUUUGUUUUAGCCAUAUCAUUUGGUUUUAGAUUUCUAGGCACCAAAAUAGGUUAUGUUAUACUAAACAUAAAAAACAUCAAAUCUUGCACCUUAAGUCUACUUAAUCAAUUUAUCCAAAUAGCAAAGUUAUAUGAAAACUUAACAGUUCUGUACUAAAGGUUACUGUGUAUAAAUAAGGUAUAACUGAGAAGAUCUGGGCCCACUUGCACAAAGCGAUCUUAGUGCUAAGACUAUCGUAAGCCUAUGUUAAAGUAUGGGAGUUAUGAUCAUCUUAACGCUAAGAUCACUUUGUUUAAGUGGGCCCUGGUUAUAUCUAUCCAAUUAGUUGAUACUAAGUACCAGAACAGCAGUAUAUAUGUGGCAUCGUUUCAGUUUGGUUAUUGUUGUUGUUGUUUGAGUGCCAAAGUUUUAUUCUAUGCAGUGCAAUAUUGUUAUCAAUAUUGUUUUGUUCUGUUUGGAUGAAUGACAUGUGGCCUUGGAUUAUACUUUAACUCAACUUGACCUGUAUGGGGGUGUGACUGCUGUCCUUGAGGCUACUUCCCCAAGUACAACUGUUAAUAUGAUUAUUCUUCUGGUACUACUGUCCAUACAACUCUGUUCCUGAAACAACUAACCAUAUACCUAAUCCUUCACACCACCGUCAAUAUGAUGGCUGUCCCUGAAAACAUCAUUUGAAGACUGCUUUGAAAAAGAGUCUAUAAAAUUGGAGUUGAAAUUUAUUUGAAAGCUAAUCAACAUUCUUCAAAUUUAUAUUAUGAAAAAGUGUACUGUGCCCGAAGGGUACUUUUAGUAUCAUCACAACAUAUAUGAUAGUUUAUAGCCUAUUUUUGCUCAAGAGACAAAGUUAUGUAAUAGAUUUAGAGAUCUUGUGCCUGUACUUUAUCGAGAUGUAAAUGCACUGUCGCGAGAACAAAGGUUGAGGCCUUUCCUUGCAGUAUGUUCUUACUACAGUACAUGUAUAUCCCGAUAAACUAUUGCCUAAGUUCUCCAUAUAUCUUUGAGCACUGGCCCAUACUAUACACUGCAGAUCGCACAAGCUGCUCCAUUCACAUUCAAAUGAGAUUUCACAAUUCAUAUCCUGCAUCACUUCGGGCUUUCCUCCCACAUUAAGCUGACACGCCGUGAUAUAACUGGAUUAGUGUUAAAAGCAGCGUUAAACCCAACUCACUCACAAUUCAUAUAAACUGUACUAUUUGUUCAGUCAAGUGUUUGUUGUUUAACAAGAGUUUCAUGCAUCUGUACACUGUAUACUUUACGGUACUUUGUCAGUGUAUUUAUGUAUGUGCUCCGCCUGGCCUAGAUAGUAACCACCAAUUGGAUGAAAGUAUCUGCCUGUGCUCUGAUUGUAUAUAGACAUGUAACAUGUGGUUGUGUAUGCUGGUCAUACUAGAGGAGUCUUAACAUACUAAUGUUCUGUAGCAGAUACCAUAAUUUCUAAGGCAAGAAAAGAUCAAAGGCACCAACAGUACAUUAUCUUGAGAUAAAGUACACUUGUUGAGUCAUAAGGGGCUGAGUUCAUGAGGCUGUUCAAAUUACCACUCCUGUGGUCUAUUGUAUCCUGGGUAAUAUUGUUCUAUCAUUUUUAGCAAUCAAGAUGGUUCAUCUGCAUCGCUCAGUGAAACAGUUUCUUUAAAGUUGUCGAAUAAUUAAAUAUUAUUCCCUGUGAAGAAAUAUGGCAAUAUCAUGUCAACAAUUUCCCAUGCUAUGACUUUAUCCCAAAUAUAUACAAACCAAAGCAGCCAUAAAGUUGUCUGAAGUGGGCGUCGCUGCCCUGUGAAUUAUUUCACUGUCUUGCCACAUAUAUGAGCAAUCCUUGAAGUGUUUAAUGACCACAUUGCUCACCGAAGCGCGUUAGAAAAAUACUGCAUGUCUUCCCCCCACCCUGUUUGUCCUAUGGUGAUGCCAUUUCACGCCCCAACCCGCCAAUUCGCGUUACAGUAUCACCUAGUGCUACCCGCUGAGUAAGCGCUCCAUUUCAUGGCUUGCAGUUGCUACAUUAGUUGUGGAAACAUUAGGAUCAUCUUUUAUGACGGAAAACACCUCAACCCAUAAUAACUAGCAACGCAAACUUUAGCUGUAUGUACACCACUCUCUUUUGUCUGGCUUACUUAUUCUGAAAUCAGAGCAGACCGGCCUCAUAGAAGUCUCUCAGUGGGCAUCACAUGGUUUGUAUAUUUAUGGAGAUUUGCUACUACAGCUGCGACGUUGAGGACUAUAACAAUAUGUCUUUACCAAUCAAGUGAAGCGGUACUAGGCUGGCCGUAAGGAACAAGGGUAGAAGCAUGUGUUUAUACGUGGGUAAGCUUGCUCUCACAAUGCGCUAGUGGAAGGGUGAGUGUCAUGUGAUUAAACUGAACCAAAUCUGUACAAAAACAUGAAUACGAAUACUACUGUUUGCUGCAUGGGAUUUGGGAUAAUCACACACUGUACAGAUAAUAUAAUGUGACAUAUUUAACUCUAUAAACUACACACUUUUUUACGUUUUGCUUUUUUCGUCACUAGGGUGCAGGCAAUAUGUGAAACAGAUCUUCAUUUAGCCCUGCCCAAGGAGUUUCAGUAUAUGGCGCCAACUAUUUCAGAUUUGAUUUUGAACAUAUCUCCAUUAAAGCGCAAAUUUUGUCUCAAAUUUGGUGUCCCCCGCUGUGAUAUUGCUGGAAUAUUGCUAAAAGCGGCGUAAAACCAUACUCACUCACUCACUCAAAUUUGGCAUCUUAGAAAAGUAGUAAAGUUUCUUCUACCCCCGUGUGUAGUGUAACAAAGUAUUGUUUUUGCCCUGAACUAAAAUGUCAAAGCAUCCUCAUGCUUUAACUAUAAUAGUUCAAGGCAAACUUUAUUAUUUUUCUGAGAUGCCGAAUUAUAUGCAAACAUUGUGCGGGUUAGAGCAAACAUUAUAUCUAAAUUCAACAUUAUGUCUACAUUGAAAUAGGAAUGAUUAAACGCAGAAAUACUUAAUAUAAGACAUGCUUAAAUAUAGGUAGAUUCAGAGACGUAUCAAACGUUGAUCCCUGAGUUCUUUCAUGGUUGCCAUGAUUAGCAUAUUUGUGAAAAAGUUGUUGAACUACUUCAUGUUAAAUAUAGGAUUAUUUGGUGACAGUUCCCUUGUAUAUGUCAAAUCCCAUAAUGCACUACACAAAAGAAGUUAAAGAACACCCUAUUCUUUCAUAGUACUGUCGUUACUGUAAUCUGUCAUGCCAUGACAAAUCAACUAUAGUAAUAUGAUAGAAGCAGGUGUUAAUUUCUUUUGUGAAGUAUAUUUAGAAAGGUAUGUCUAACUGACAUGUCAGUGGGGUCAAUAUCUAUGUUAUUUUGUCCAGAACAUGGUGUUGUCAUACUCAUUUAUGAAUUUAUUUUGUAAAAAGCAUUUGAUUCCAUCCAUUUGGAAAUUGUAGGAUUUUGCUACAACUUUCAAAAUAGUUGUGACAAACAUGAGGUGUUGGAGGUUAUUUUGAAGAUUAUGACAAUGAUCAGCUAUGAGCCUGUGCUUAGUUAAAAGAAGGCAGAAGGUAAUGUUAGUUGACCACAGACUUUGUCCAUCAGACAACUGAAUCAGCGCACUGACUUCGUGUAAUUACCUUCCACCACUGAUGAACAAGAUGAAGAAACUGCUUAUGUAUGCCUGAGAGUGUAAUGAAGUUUUUUAAUUGAUUUUGAAAUUAUUGACCCUGUUGUAUGGUUCUAUGGACCAAAGUUUAGAAGUUGUUAGACACCUACCCACCAGUAUAUUAAGAGAAUGUGCCUCUGUGCAUCUGUGUCUUGCAAGAAUCCACCUACCUUGUGCAUCCCUUUGUCUUGCAAGAAUCCACCUACCUUGUGCAUCCCUUUGUCUUGCAAGAAUCCACCUACCUUGUGCAUCCCUUUGUCUUGCAAGAAUCUGCCUAUUUUGUCCUUCUCUGUCUCUUGCAAGAAUCUACCUACCUUAUGCAUACCUUCAUCUUGCAAGAAUCUGCCUAUUUUGUCCAUCUCAGUGUCUUGCAAGAAUCUUCUGAUUGUGCAUUCCUUAGUCUUGCAAGAAUCUGUGGGUUUUGAUGACUGAUUUGCCCAGAUUGUGAUCCUUGGUUUGUUUGCUGUUAAGUUUCCCCAUUGACCUUUACUCCCACAUGAAGCUGUCAUGCCAUGAUAUGACUGAAGUAAGACCCAGUCAUCCCCUCGCAUGGUUGGCACGAAAGGUAUGGAGACAUAAGGUUCAGGUUAUGUCCAAAGGUUCAGAAUGAAGCCUUAAUUUCUCAAACCUGUCCUCGAUAUGCUUGCUUGAGGAAGAAGAUCCAAAACAAGAAAAUCAGUUUGUCAUGGCAUAACACCUCAUCAUAUUGGACCUGUUAUCUUUCACAUUCAAUAAUGAGCAAUAACAUAAUGCUGUAACUUGACAAAAUGUUGUCCUUUCCAUAUUUCUACAUUUGUUUGUCUUGAUCUUGUUUAUAUACAUUUGCAUUAUAUUUUUUGUAUACAUUUUUAAGAAUUAGAAUGAUAUGUCUUAAAUAGCUGACAUGAUCAAAACUGUCGAUUUCUUUAUGUGACCUAUGACAUUGGUGUGAUUUGAUUGUGGGUGGAUAGGCAUCUAAUAGAUCUAAUUCAAUAUGCAUUGUAAACAUGUUAAAGAAACCCAUUAGUUUAUUCACAUGAUAGCAACAGUGAUAAUGACAAAUGUGCAAGUUGUAUCAUCUCAGUCCUCAAGUACACACAUAUGUUAUUGGAGGUGCUUGGGCUGUCAAACAAAUUAUUUGAUUUUUGUGUCUUUUGUUACAAUGCAACACAAAUGAGUGUUUUAAGAUGGGAUGUAUGCUUCACGAUUAGACUGACAUCAAUAACCAGCAUUUGAGAUGGUGAGUAUGGAAUGGGUGAUGCCAGUGGUUGCUGUGUGUGACCGUGUUAUAAGCAUAACCUUCAAAUAUGUGACACUUAUCAUGAGGUUGAGUUGACCUCCAGUUGCAUCAUGUGACACAGUUAUCAUGAGGUUGAGUCGACCUUAAAUUGCAUCAUGUGACACUGUUAUCAUGAGGUUGAGUCGACCUUAAAUUGCAUCAUGUGACACUGUUAUCAUGAGGUUGAGUCGACAUCCAGUUGCAUCAUGUGACACUGUUAUCAUGAGGUUGAGUCGACCUCCAGUUGCAUCAUGUGACACUGUUAUCAUGAGGUUGAGUCGACCUCCAGUUGCAUCAUGUGACACUGUUAUCAUGAGACACUGUUAUCAUGAGGUUGAGUCGACCUCCAGUUGCAUCAUGUGACACUGUUAUCAUGAGGUUGAGUCGACCUCCAGUUGCAUCAUGUGACACUGUUAUCAUGAGGUUGAGUCGACCUCCAGUUGCAUCAUGUGACACUGUUAUCAUGAGGUUGAGUCGACCUCCAGUUGCAUCAUGUGACACUGUUAUCAUGAGAUUGAGUCGACCUCCACUUGCAUCAUGUGACACUGUUAUCAUGAGGUUGAAUAAGAGCUCCAAUUACAUUGUGUGACAUUUCUCUCAUAAAGCUGAAUAAGAUCUCUGUGCAUUGUGUGACAGAGCACCAACUGCACGGUUACCUUCAACUGUGUGAUGGUAUGAUUGUUAUGAAGGUGACCAGAGCUGGUUCCCAGGCAGCAUCACUAGUGGCAUGGACAAUCAGGGGAAAGCGUUUAUGCAUUCUAAAUUCUAGUAUCUCGAAAAUUACUCACACUAGCAAUUACUAAAAGCUAAAAAUAAUCUUACAAUUAGGAGUGUUAUUGCAUGAUGUAUACAUUAGACACUGUCUAUCAUCGACUAUGUGCGCAAUGAACAUGCACUGUUAAAUACACCAUUCUACAUCCCUUUAUCUAUGCAAUUAUAUGCUACAUGCUUGUUAUUUUUUCAUGCAUUUAGAAAAUCAAAUCUUUUUCUUUCUUUUUUUUCAUAAUAAUAUUUCUUUCACAAAUGCAAAAAUUGGUUGAUUUUGCAUAAUCUAUGAUGUAGUGCCAUGUGUAAUCACACUCAGCAUUUUAUUGCUUUUCGCUAAGAUUCAUUCUAUUUUUUGCAGAAUGGCAUUAUCAAGAUUUGGUAGAUGAAACUAUAUUAUUGGUGUGAAAAGCUGGACAUAUAGUCACUUGUCAAGAGAACAGUUAAGAUCUAUCUCUUGGCUGAUGGGUAUUUCAAAACACAGCCUUCCAAUUUUGGGUGUUCUUAACUUGUUUUGAGCAGUAUAUUUGUCUGGAGUCAAAGACAACACAACACCUUUUGCCUUAACGUGUCAUGUUCAUUAUCUGUGAGAAGUCUGGAUGGAGAUGAGAGAUGCCAAUUUCACCAAAGUGGUAAGGUUGCACUUGCAUCACUUCUUGUUUCCUCCCCACUACGCUGACAGUGAUCUAAGUGAAGUACUAUUCAAAGCAGCAUUAAGCUCACUGUUAGUGUGUAAGAAUGAACUUGACAAUAUAACCAGAAGACACUGGUUGUCACCUCACUUGUUUCUAUGAAGACUUCUGUAGUGAUUCAGAGGACAAUUGGUUUUCAGCAUAUGUGUACAUGUUGGAAUGUUGGAAUUACCUUUUCUUUUUACAUUUUGUAUAUUUCUUCGAUUUUUACACAAUAUAAAAAUAAACCAAUGCAACAGAA